Molecule: long non-coding RNA, 1017 nt
Organism: Elaeis guineensis (African oil palm)
Lineage: Eukaryota; Viridiplantae; Streptophyta; Magnoliopsida; Arecales; Arecaceae
Source: RefSeq, a predicted model, not a curated record
CUUGACCCAGUGGCCAGAAGACCCAACCCAACCCGUUCUCAAACCCCUCUACUAGCCCGCGACGGGGUCGGCAAUGGCGACGGAGUCGGACGGCGAGGAGGACACGGCGGGGAAGCUGAAUGGGAGCCAGCACCUGGACGUCGAUGGCGACCUCCAGGAUAUAUCCAAGAAGGCAGCCUGGAGAGUCAGCUCCCCCAAGCCCGGCAAUGGCGUCCUCGCCCUCCGCGACGACAAACUCGACGCCUACUGACAAUCGGAUGGAGUCAACCUCAUUUGGUGAAUAUCCAGUUCCGGAAGAAGGUCAUGCUGCGACUUCUGGUUCUCUAUGUGGAUAUCAAGCUCGGCGAUAGCUACACGACGAGCGAGAUCUCUAUUCGUACUAGCGACGGUUUCGACAACAUGAAGUUAUAAUGAGAAAGACUACUCAUUCUGUUGCUGAACAAUUUGGGAAGACUACUUGGAAUUUCAAGCCUGGUCGGUGAACAUGGUGGAAUUUCAGAAUUUGUAUACUGCAAUAUUGGCAAUGAAAGUCUAACUAACUAACCAUCUAUUGACCUUCAAGAUAGAUCCACAAGAACAUAAUAUAGCUUUAAACAUCAAGAUUGUCCACCUCAAAGGCUUUCAUGUAUCAACUAUCUCUGGUAGGGCAUCGCUGACAUUCAGUAGUAAUCCCCUCUAAUAAAUUCAUUCAAACGCUUCACUUCCUGAUGUUGUUGUUCUACUACUGCUCGGACAACAUCUACAAUGGAAAUCAUGCCAACUACCUUCUGAUCUAUCACAGGAACAUGUCGAAUAUGUUUAUCUGCCAGCACCAGAAAUGAACAUUGGUUUCUUCAUUAUUCGUUUAUUCUGGUGAAUUGUCAAAUACAAAAUUUAGGGAAGAACACCUUCGAGAAAUGGUCAAUAGCGUACCUGUCAUUAGCUGCAUUGCUUGAAGAAUAUUUGUGUCAGAAGACACCGUAAUGAGCUUGUUCUGUAAAACCAUGCCCAAAUAAUGGUAGAAGAUUAAGGAAUCAU